GCGGGGGUAGCUCAGUUUCUAGAGCGCAGGCGAUCCUCGCCUGAGGUCGUCGGUGGAAAGCCGACCCCCCGCUCCA
RNAcentral lists this transfer RNA (76 nucleotides) under Alphaproteobacteria bacterium. RNAcentral describes it as "tRNA-Gly". Lineage: Bacteria; Pseudomonadati; Pseudomonadota; Alphaproteobacteria. The record is from RNAcentral.